Molecule: long non-coding RNA, 1450 nt
Organism: Eucalyptus grandis
Lineage: Eukaryota; Viridiplantae; Streptophyta; Magnoliopsida; Myrtales; Myrtaceae
Exons: 3
Source: RefSeq, a predicted model, not a curated record
GGUGUUGCUGUAUCUAUCUAUCAGUCGACUCGCGCACACGUCGCGUUCUUGGAAAGAACUCUCUGGGCUCUGCUUCGGUCCGAGGCUUUCUGGCGGAUUGAAACGGUUCUGCAAGGUCGGCUUCUUGCUUGUCUUGUGUGUCAUGCGCUGUUCGGCUCUUCGUUUCUGGUUUUGGGUUCGGGCCAAAAUGGGUUCCCAGGGAAUGAUCUUUCUUGCUCGGUGUUGCGACGUUCUCGAAGAUGGGAGUGAUGAAGCAAAAUUAUCGAUUUCGGCUUUCUGUGCAGUGGGUUUAGGAUUUUGCAUGUGCUGUGCUUACUCUUACUCUUGGCUGUCUUCAUGUUCACUAACUUUAUGUCAUCUAGUGUAUUGAGAGAUAGACGAGGGGUUUUAGUAUUCUUUUGAACUUUACUUUCUGGAGUGAAAUUUUGUCUACUUGCAACAUUCUAAUCUACUAGCAACUAUUCUCCAUUAUGACUUUUCAAGCUAAACAGCAAUGUCUACCGAUCUAUAACUAAAUAUGAGCAGUGAAUUUUUUAUUUUCAGCACUGGGUAAAUGGUACAGUUCUAGCGAAAACAUUGUCUUAGGUAUCAUGCUUUGUUUAACUAGCUGCGGGUUUCGUGGCUUUCAAGAUCACUUGAUAAGUAUCCACUUGUUUUUUGAGUCCCAUGCUUCGCGUGUGAAUCCUUUGGUAAUCUGAGUUCUCAUGAGUUUUCAUGGCUUUUAGUUUUCCUUUUUGCUUCCAUAGUAAUCGAUUCUGUUGUGCAGCCACACAAAAAUGCCAGACAUUGACUUGGGAUCUCACACUACACAAUCCCAUGGAUUCAAGGUGGCAAAAGUGCAUAAGCACGACUGGCUCAUUCUUUUGCUUCUUGUGGUGAUAGAAGCCAUCUUACUUAUAAUAGAACCAUGAAAUAUCCUCUGAAGGGCAAUACCGUGCCCUUUUGGGAUGUCCCAAUGAUCGCCAUAGUGUUUCCGUCCGUCGUCUUUCUUGCUUACUACUUCACACGCAAAGACGUUUAUGAUUUCCAUCACGCGAUUUUGGAUGCUGUUGGACGACCAAGACCAGACUUCCCGCCGUUCACUGCCCGCCCUUGGAAGACGCCCCGGACAUCGGAGCCGUUCGUUGAAACCCCACCCCAGAUAGGAGCUCUUUCUCUCAACACCCCCAAUCUCAAAAUUCAUUUUUUUCUCGAAGAUCGUAGGCAUCUUGCAUAGAAAUAUUGGUUGAUCUGUGCCUAAUAAUGUCGAUUCAAACCUUCAUAUGUCGAGACUAAGCCUCAAGCUUGCUGUCCGAAGUGCGUGUCAUGCGUUUGCUAACAUGCCCGAAAGAAGGCCGAGGAAUUUUCACGUAUUAGCUCGAAGCUGAUUCGUGUUUGCGUUUGUAUUCGUCGAACCCUGCUCGAUUUCUUUGUAUUUUGCCGUGUUUUCAUGUGACUUUGUGAUAUAUUC